Molecule: ribosomal RNA, 592 nt
Filed under: uncultured bacterium
Lineage: Bacteria
Description: partial 16S ribosomal RNA
Rfam family: Bacterial small subunit ribosomal RNA
Source: RNAcentral
UGGGGAAUCUUCCGCAAUGGACGAAAGUCUGACGGAGCAACGCCGCGUGUAUGAUGAAGGUCUUCGGAUUGUAAAGUACUGUCAUUGGGGAAGAACGGUUUUCUUGAAAAGAUUGAGAAGACAUGACGGUACCCAAGGAGGAAGCCCCGGCUAACUACGUGCCAGCAGCCGCGGUAAUACGUAGGGGGCAAGCGUUGUCCGGAAUUAUUGGGCGUAAAGGGCGCGUAGGCGGGCCUUUAAGUCCGGUGUGAAAGAUCAGGGCUCAACCCUGAGAGUGCAUCGGAAACUGGAGGCCUUGAGGACAGGAGAGGAAAGUGGAAUUCCACGUGUAGCGGUGAAAUGCGUAGAUAUGUGGAGGAACACCAGUGGCGAAGGCGACUUUCUGGACUGUAACUGACGCUGAGGCGCGAAAGCGUGGGGAGCAAACAGGAUUAGAUACCCUGGUAGUCCACGCCGUAAACGAUGAGUGCUAGGUGUAGAGGGUAUCGACCCCUUCUGUGCCGCAGUUAACACAAUAAGCACUCCGCCUGGGGAGUACGGCCGCAAGGUUGAAAACUCAAAAGGAAUUGACGGGGGUCAUAGCUGUUUUCCU